Molecule: ribosomal RNA, 478 nt
Filed under: uncultured bacterium
Lineage: Bacteria
Description: partial 16S ribosomal RNA
Rfam family: Bacterial small subunit ribosomal RNA
Source: RNAcentral
GACGAACGCUGGCGGCGUGCUUAACACAUGCAAGUCGAACGGGAUUUAGUAGACAGAAGCCUCGGCUAAAGAUUACUAAUGAGAGUGGCGAACGGGUGAGUAACGCGUGAGCAACCUGCCUAUGACAGUGGGAUAGCCUCGGGAAACCGGGAUUAAUACCGCAUAAAAUCGUAGAAACACAUGUUUUAACGGUCAAAGAUUUAUCGGUCAUAGAUGGGCUCGCGCCUGAUUAGCUAGUUGGUGAGAUAACAGCCCACCAAGGCGACGAUCAGUAGCCGGUCUGAGAGGAUGAACGGCCACAUUGGAACUGAGACACGGUCCAAACUCCUACGGGAGGCAGCAGUGGGGAAUAUUGCACAAUGGGGGAAACCCUGAUGCAGCGACGCCGCGUGAACGAAGAAGGUAUUCGUAUCGUAAAGUUCUGUCCUAUGGGAAGAUAAUGACAGUACCAUAGAAGAAAGCUCCGGCUAAAUACGUG